Molecule: ribosomal RNA, 319 nt
Filed under: uncultured eukaryote
Lineage: Eukaryota
Description: partial 18S ribosomal RNA
Rfam family: Eukaryotic small subunit ribosomal RNA
Source: RNAcentral
CCCUUAGAUGUUCUGGGCUGCACGCGCGCCACACUGACGUACGCAACGAGUGUCCUUUACCGAGAGGUAUGGGUAAUCAUUUGAGUGUACGUCGUGAUGGGGAUAGAAUAUUGUAAUUAUUACUCUUCAACGAGGAAUUCCUAGUAAGCGCAAGUCAGCAGCUUGCGCUGAUUACGUCCCUGCCCUUUGUACACACCGCCCGUCGCUCCUACCGAUGGGUGAUCCGGUGAAUGAUUCGGACUCGGUUGCCUCUAGCCACUAGUGGCGCUCGAGAAAGUUUUGUGAACCUUAUCACUUGGAGGAAGGAGAAGUCGUAACA